UACCAGCACCCCGAGUGGUCUGGACGAUUAUUGGGCCUAAAGCAUCCGUAGCCGGUUCUACAAGUCUUCCGUUAAAUCCACCUGCUUAACAGAUGGGCUGCGGAGGAUACUAUAGAGCUAGGAGGCGGGAGAGGCAAGCGGUACUUAGUGGGUAGGGGUAAAAUCCGUUGAUCCAUUGAAGACCACCAGUGGCGAAGGCGGCUUGCCAGAACGCACUCGACGGUGAGGGACGAAAGCUGGGGGAGCAAACCGG
RNAcentral lists this ribosomal RNA (253 nucleotides) under uncultured bacterium. Its description in RNAcentral is "partial 16S ribosomal RNA". It matches the Rfam family "Archaeal small subunit ribosomal RNA", at positions 474 to 727 of the family's 1478-position model. The record is from RNAcentral.